UCAACUUGAGAGUUUGAUCCUGGCUCAGAACGAACGCUGGCGGCAGGCUUAACACAUGCAAGUCGAACGCCCCGCAAGGGGAGUGGCAGACGGGUGAGUAACGCGUGGGAAUCUACCGUACCCUACGGAAUAACGCAUGGAAACGUGUGCUAAUACCGUAUACGCCCUUAGGGGGAAAGAUUUAUCGGGGUAUGAUGAGCCCGCGUUGGAUUAGCUAGUUGGUGGGGUAAAGGCCUACCAAGGCGACGAUCCAUAGCUGGUCUGAGAGGAUGAUCAGCCACAUUGGGACUGAGACACGGCCCAAACUCCUACGGGAG
This 317-nucleotide ribosomal RNA is filed under the name Rhizobium sp. RNAcentral describes it as "bacterial SSU rRNA". It matches the Rfam family "Bacterial small subunit ribosomal RNA", at positions 1 to 347 of the family's 1533-position model. Lineage: Bacteria; Pseudomonadati; Pseudomonadota; Alphaproteobacteria; Hyphomicrobiales; Rhizobiaceae. The record is from RNAcentral.